AUUGAACGCUGGCGGCAUGCUUUACACAUGCAAGUCGGACGGCAGCACAGAGAAGCUUGCUUCUUGGGUGGCGAGUGGCGAACGGGUGAGUAACAUAUCGGAACGUACCGAGUAGUGGGGGAUAACUGAUCGAAAGAUCAGCUAAUACCGCAUACGUCUUGAGAGGGAAAGCAGGGGACCUUCGGGCCUUGCGCUAUUCGAGCGGCCGAUAUCUGAUUAGCUAGUUGGUGGGGUAAAGGCCUACCAAGGCGACGAUCAGUAGCGGGUCUGAGAGGAUGAUCCGCCACACUGGGACUGAGACACGGCCCAGACUCCUACGGGAGGCAGCAGUGGGGAAUUUUGGACAAUGGGCGCAAGCCUGAUCCAGCCAUGCCGCGUGUCUGAAGAAGGCCUUCGGGUUGUAAAGGACUUUUGUCAGGGAAGAAAAGGCUGUUGCUAAUAUCAGCGGCUGAUGACGGUACCUGAAGAAUAAGCACCGGCUAACUACGUGCCAGCAGCCGCGGUAAUACGUAGGGUGCGAGCGUUAAUCGGAAUUACUGGGCGUAAAGCGAGCGCAGACGGUUACUUAAGCAGGAUGUGAAAUCCCCGGGCUCAACCUGGGAACUGCGUUCUGAACUGGGUGACUAUAGUGUGUCAGAGGGAGGUAGAAUUCCACGUGUGCAGUGAGAUGCGUAUAGAUGUGGAGGAAUACCGAUGGCGAAGGCAGCCUCCUGGGAUAACACUGACGUUCAUGCUCGAAAGCGUGGGGUAGCAAACAUGAUUAUAUACCCUUGGAGUCCCAGGGCUAAUUCCACAGUGGAUAUCACGCUUAUGUUACCGGCGACGUGCGUGGAAUGGGCGCGGUACACAGCUUUUGUUCCCUUUAUGAGUGUUAAUUAAAUCUGAGCCAUGUGUGUGGUUGUGUGUGUUGGUGUUUGUUGUGGUGGUGGGAUGUUGUAGCUGUGAUGAUUUGGUGUUGUGUGUGUGUCGUCGUGUGUGGUACGGUAUGGUGAUGUAGGUGUAUUGUGUGAGGUGCGGUGUGUAUGUGUGAGGUGUGAUGUGUGCUGUUGUUGCUUUGCUUGUGUGUUGUGUGUCGCGUGAGUGUGGUGUGUGAGGUUGCUCUUGUCGUCUAGUAGUGCUCGUGAGUUGUGUGUGA
This 1135-nucleotide ribosomal RNA is filed under the name Neisseria cinerea. RNAcentral's name for it is "bacterial SSU rRNA". The stretch from base 1 to 809 matches the Rfam family "Bacterial small subunit ribosomal RNA", at positions 28 to 873 of the family's 1533-position model. The record is from RNAcentral. Lineage: Bacteria; Pseudomonadati; Pseudomonadota; Betaproteobacteria; Neisseriales; Neisseriaceae.